CCAUGGUUUCACAGAAGAUAUCGCAGCAUUUAUCUCCUCCUCAACCAAUAGUUUUGGAGCAUAAGAUAAAGCUUUCAGGAAACAGUCCAGCUGGAACUGCAUGCUAUGAUGUGGUGGUGGAUGUCCCCUUCCCAAUACAGAGGGAAUUGAAUGCUCUGUUGGCCAAUGCGGAGAAGAACAAAGAGAUUGAAACCUGUGAUGAAGCAAUAUGUGC
This 214-nucleotide unclassified non-coding RNA is filed under the name Hevea brasiliensis (rubber tree). Lineage: Eukaryota; Viridiplantae; Streptophyta; Magnoliopsida; Malpighiales; Euphorbiaceae. The record is from RNAcentral.